GAUAAUCAUCCCCAAAGCUAGAAACACCCCGCCAGCUCGAAAGUAGGGUUCGGUUUUUUUAAACCACGGCUGUGGCCCCCGUGACCCCAGGCAGGCCCCGCCCCUUCCUGGUUGUCUUAGCGACGGCGGUGGCGUCCCAAGAUGGCGUCGUGGCUGCCGGAGACUCUGUUCGAAAUUGUAGGACAAGGCCCAGCGCCGAGCAAAGACUAUUACCAGUUAUUGGUCACCCGGUUCCAGGUAAUUUUUAGAUGGUGGAAGAUCUCUCUGAGGAGUGAGUAUCGAUCAACAAAACCUGGAGAAACAAAAGAAACUCAUCAAGACUUCCUAGAGAAGUCACAUCUUCAGGUUCAAAUUGCCUUAAUAUUUGGUUCAAGAAUAUUAGACUAUGUCUUCAAUUUAUGUGAAGGUAAAUUUGACUUCCUUGAACGGCUCUCAGACAGUUUGCUGCUGAAUAUCAUUUCUUACCUGGAUCUUGAAGACAUUGCCAGGCUUUCUCAAACAUCACGCAGAUUUGCAAAGCUGUGCAUGUCGGACGAACUGUGGGAGCAGAUCGUCCGGAGCUCCUGUGACCACAUCACCCCCGACAUGCGAGCCUUGGCCCAGGACAUGGGCUGGAGACAGAUGUACUUCACCAACAAGCUGCAGCUCCAGCGGCACCUCCGCAAGAGGAAGCAGCGGCAGGGAAGCCGGAGAAGCAGUCAGCUCUAGACGCACACGUUCCCGCCGCCGGAGAGUAGGAGGCACGGCUGUGUUUUCCUUCUGUGUCAGACCUCUUCUGCUGCCUUCCCUUAAGUGCUAAGGCCUUGCCGAUUCAAGGAGUCAUAGAGUACUUGCACACACAUGCAGCACCACGCCUGCCUCUGCCAGGCCUUUUGCCUGAACCACAGUCUCGGCUACAGGAACAGUAUCAUCAACCUAAAAUCCUGUAAGACACCAGCAACCUCAGUGGUCAAUCAUUCUGCCUCUCUCUCCCGCCUCCAUGGGGAGGCGAUGGUGGUUUUGCCUCUCCGCCUCUGCUGACGGUUUUUAUGUGGACGGAUAAAUCUGCUUCGUUCAUGACACAUCAUUUCAGAGUGAAAUGCCACAGCAGUUUAUACUUUUGUCUCUUUUCAUCUCUUCACUCAAAAGUGCUUCUACCCGGCUAUCACUCACCAUUGUAACUGUAAAAGUAAAAUGCUGAUAUUCUCCAAUGACUCAUAUGUUUAGUGUUAUAAAAAUAAUUUAUUAACAGCCGCAUAUGUGAAUAUUUAAUUUAUAAACUAAAGAAAUAUGUAUAUUUUACUCCAUGUCAACUUCUAGUACUGCUUUUUAUUCUUGAAGAGGUUAGUAGAUUACAUGCAUUAAACUUUGAUUAUAUGAAAUCUGCAAUUA
This is an RNA transcript of Bubalus bubalis (water buffalo), 1371 nucleotides long. It is a transcript of the gene named F-box protein 36, with no coding region annotated. The record is from RefSeq and is a predicted model, not a curated record. The transcript has 5 exons. NCBI's taxonomy places the organism in Eukaryota, Metazoa, Chordata, Mammalia, Artiodactyla, Bovidae.